GACGAACGCUGGCGGCGUGCUUAACACAUGCAAGUCGAACGGAAAGGCCCUGCUCUUGCGGGGUGCUCGAGUGGCGAACGGGUGAGUAACACGUGAGUAACCUGCCCUUGACUUUGGGAUAACUUCAGGAAACUGGGGCUAAUACCGGAUAGGAGCUCCUGAUGCAUGGUGGGGGUUGGAAAGUUUCGGCGGUUGGGGAUGGUCUCGCGGCUUAUCAGCUUGAUGGUGGGGUAGUGGCUUACCAAGGCUUUGACGGGUAGCCGGCCUGGGAGGGGGACCGGCGACAUGGGGCCUGAGAGACGGCGCAGUCGCGUACGGGAGGCAGCAGGGGGGAGCAUUGCGCAAUGGGCGGAAGCCUGAUGUAGCAACGCCGCGUGCGUGAUGACGGCCUACGGGGUGUAAACCGCUGUCGCCUGUGACGAAGCGUGAGUGACGGUAAUGGGUAAGGAAGCACCGGCUAACUACGUG
RNAcentral lists this ribosomal RNA (468 nucleotides) under uncultured bacterium. RNAcentral describes it as "partial 16S ribosomal RNA". It matches the Rfam family "Bacterial small subunit ribosomal RNA", at positions 28 to 507 of the family's 1533-position model. The record is from RNAcentral.